This is a long non-coding RNA of Andrographis paniculata, 3915 nucleotides long. RefSeq lists it as uncharacterized. Lineage: Eukaryota; Viridiplantae; Streptophyta; Magnoliopsida; Lamiales; Acanthaceae. The record is from RefSeq and is a predicted model, not a curated record. The transcript is spliced from 2 exons.
AAAUAAUAAUAUUACUAUAAUGAUAAAUCAAUAAUAAUAAAAUAAUAGUAAUAAUAAGAAUAAGAAUAAUUAGAAUAAAUAAAAAUUAGGUUUAGGAGCCGUCGCUACCUUUUUCUCCCCUUUAUAUAUAUAUAUAAUAAAAAUAUUUUUGAUACAAAAUAAUAAUAAUUUUAUUUUGUUGUUCAUUCAGGAUUCUCAAGAUGAUCUACUCGUUUGUUCAGAUUGAAUUUUAAAGCUGAAGCAGACUCUAUCCUUGUGAACCAGCGGUGAUGGCAAGCAGAGCGGUGACUGCAAGCGAAGCGACGUCAAUAUCUCUGUAUGCAAGCGAAGCAGCGUAAAUGUGUGUGUGCAAGCGAAGCGGCGAAAACAAGCGGGAAAAGUGAGCGGGCUGCGCGCAAGCGGAGCGGCGAUUAUACAAGCGGAGUCGGUAUUCUAUUUUUUCUUCAAUUGAAGUGAGAAGCUGAACUCUAUCAUGUUCUUCACCCAAUUUAGGGCAAAAAAAUAAAAAAUAAAAAAUAAAAAAUAAAAAAAUCAAUUUUUAAAAUCCUAAAUUGCCCACAAGUGAAGAAUCCUGCGCAAAAAUUGAUUCCGAAUUUUGGUAAGAAGAAUUUCAAAGCUCUUCAAAAUGGGUUAGUUCAGGUAGAAUUCGAUAUAUACAUUUUCCUCUUUUCUUCCCCCAUUUUCUUUCUCUCCUCACCCGAGUGGAUGCACAAUCCCUUUUUCCUAAUUGCUCUGUCAAGUCUAAGCCCUAGCCGCCGCUGCCGCCUUCAACGUAAUCUCUUUUUCCCCGACGAUUGGAUCCUACUGCAUCACCUUCCUCAAUUCUGAUUGUUCCCGACUCCACUAUCAUUCAUCUUCCGUCCCUCCGAUUCUUAUCAAGGUUGUUCGAGGGCGAACAACAAUUCAAGUGUGAGGAGGGAAGUCAUCGGCACCACCAAAAAUUUUGAAAAAAAAAAUCUGGCUGCAAGACAUGAAUCAGGGAAGUUUUUGAUUCCCUUAUCGAUUAUUUAUGACGGCUUAUUUAUUGAUUGCUAACUUGUUAGAUAGUAGAAUAUGUGCUUCUUAGAUAAAUUAGUAGUUGUAAACCUAGUUGAUUAGGAUAAUUUUCAGAUUAGUGCUGAAGAAGCUGUGUAAUAUAUUAGUUUGCUGCUGUUAGUUUUCUUACUUCAAUCCUUAGUUAUGGUUAGACAAUUAGCAUAGUUAGUUUGUUAUUAGUCUUAGUCGCAUCCUGUUAGUUCGGUUAGCACUAGUUGAGAUAGGUAUAGAAUUAGUUUGCUUAAUUAGUUAGAUUUGUCCAAUUCUGUAUUGUUAAUCAGGUGUUCUGCAAUAGUUUUUAGCUGUAGAUAUUAUGUUGUUUUAGUUCAAUUUUAUUUGUAGUAUUCUGUAUGUUAGAUUAGGUUAGUAUUUUGUAAUUUAUGUUCCUUAGCGUGUCAAUGAAAUAGAGUAUAGUUUGUUGAAUAAUUACUUGAUUUGGUUGGUAAGUUAUGUAAUUGUCUAAUUAAUUAGGUGAAUACAUUGUUGAUUAAUUAGUUGUUAGGUAAACUAAUUUUAUUCCUUAGACUUAGAUCUGUUUCCGUAUGUUUUAUAUUAACUCUUUCUUUCUUAGUCUAAUCAUGUGACUGUGUUUAGAUACAGUUUGCUUUUGUAAUUAAUUAUUUAUUUUAGUUAAUCUGGUUGGGUUAGUAUUUUGUGUGAAAACUAGUAAUCUAGUCCCAGAAUUUUAUUUAUUGUUGUAUGUUUUAGUCCUUUUCUUUGCUAUUGCUAAUUUAGUGGUCUAAUUUUUAUUUUGUAAUUUCCUAUUGCUGUAAAUUUUGUAGUUUGAGUCUAAUUAGUUUUGUUCCUAAUUGUGUUUGUUAAGAUUAAUUUGGAUGCAAUCAUCUUAAUUUCUGAUAAUAUAAUGUGUAUAAUAAUGAUCCAUUAUUUAUUUAACUACUCAUAUUGGUAGAAUUAGUUUAGUCGCAUGUUACAUGCAUAUCUUUCUUUAUUUUUAUAAGCCACAAUAAAUAAAAUAAUGUGUGCUAAUUAAUUUAUUUGGAGUUAAUUUAUUUUGGCUUAAAUUAUUCAUAUUUAUUUUUUUAUUUAUGUUGUUUAAUGUCGAUUAAUUUAUUUUGUGUAAUUUAUUGUUGUCUAAUUUAUUUUGAAAUAAAUUAUUUUAUAUUUAAUUUAUUUAUUUAAAAUAAAAUUAGCCGUGAAAUAUGUUAUUUUUUCGAGUCAAUCGAUUUUCAUUGUGCUUAAUUUGAGUUUGAAAUUGAAUCUAUUCAAUAAUUGAAAUCCUUCUGAGCAUGAGUAUAAAUCAAGAUUUUGAUAAAGUUGGUUGAUAUCCCAUUCGUUUCAUUUAUUCCAUAGUUAGUCUAAUUUGUAGAACUUUCGUCUAUUUAGCUGCGCUUGUUAGCGCAGAGGAUGAACGAAUAGUUUCCUUAAAAUGGGAUUGACGAACGAAUAGUGUGAGGAGGAUGCCAAUUAUCUUUAUAUGCGACUUGACUUGGCACCCAAAAAAAAAAAAAAAUCGACGCAAAAAUGUCGAAAUUAAUUUAUUAUCGUUAGCAAUGUCUACCGGGCUGCCUUGUUUCUUAAUUUAUGAUUUAUUAUGGCGGUUUAUUUAAAGCUUUGAGUCAUCGCAUCAUUUUUAGAAGCUACUUCGAACACUUAAGUUUGAAAAUAUUUCGGGAGACAUAAUUUCGAAUCUUUGCAGAUGAGCAAUAUCGCGUAAAUGGCUUAAGGUCCUGAACUUUAGCUAAGAUUCAUUUACACACUACCGUUGAUAUUGCCGACAAUAUUGGAUCCUUAUUUAGAAAAUAAUUGGUUUAAUUUCAUUAAUUGAAUUUAUUCGAGGACAAAUAAAGGGUAAGUGUGAGGAGUUUGAUAACUCUUGAUUUUGUCGUAUUUUAUAGCUUAUAUUUAUUUAUUUAAUUAUAUGUUUAUGUCGAAUUUUGAUAUUAUUUAUGUUAAUUUAUUCUAAUAAUUGUAUUCAUUUCAUCUUGUUUGUAUAAUUUUAUUUUAUUAGUUUUUAAGUGUUAUUUAUAAUUAUUUUGGUGUAUAACUUAAAUUAAUUGAUGUGUUUCUUGAAUUAUAUUUUUUCGCAUUAUUUACGUGCAAUUUAAGUAUUUAAUUUUAACUAAAUUAAUUUAAUUCAAUAAGUAUUAUUUAUUUAAAGAAAUAUUUAUAAGAUGUUCAUUAUUUAUAUAGGUGAAAUAAUGCUUGAAAACUGAUAUGGGAGCCCAAAACUGGCCUUAAAAAGUGAAAAAAUGGCUUCAGAAGCGAAAAAACAGUCACCGGCGUGAAAGUCAACAAAAGUUAACGGUCCACGCCAGUAAGUCAACGCGCAAAAGUCAAAGUCAACCGAGCACGGAAGACAAGCGACGGCCGCGCGGAAGACAAGCGACGGCCGCGCAGAAGGCGAGCGACGGCUAGCACGGAAGGCGAGCGACGGCUAAUACGAAAGGCAAGCGACGGCUGACACGGGAAGCGAUGACGGCUGCACGGAAACUUUGGCAUUGAAGUGAGCAAAGCGAUGGCGGCUGGCACGGAAGGCAAGCGGCGGGUGACACGGAAAUAUGAGCGGAGCGGAAAGCCAUACGUGGAAGUGAGCGAAGCGGCGGCUGCAUUAAUUCUUGCUGCAUUUAUUGCCGCUUGUCAUCGGUGCAUUUACAGCGCCGCCACAAUAAUUCCUGCACAGAAUUCCGCUGCAUUUAUGUCUCCUGGACCCUCAGCUCCUGCAUUUACUACACUCUCCCAGCUCCGUUAAUUAAAAUCCUGCACUACUUUUUAGCCAAUUUUUGGUUAUUUUUGUGUAAUUUUUAUUCUAAAACCUUCUAGAAAAUAGGUAGUUAUAAAGUAUAAUGUUAUAAAGUGCUUUAUCAUAAAAAGACAGGAAAAACAGUGUAGAUAAAAAAGCGUUAACUUUAUUUCCUUAAA